GAAAUGCGAUAAGUAAUGUGAAUUGCAGAAUUCAGUGAAUCAUCGAAUCUUUGAACGCACCUUGCGCUCCUUGGUAUUCCUUGGAGCAUGCCUGUUUGAGUAUCAUGAAAUCUUCAAAGUAAAUCUUUUGUUAACUCAAUUGGUUUCUACUUUGGUAUUGGAGGUCUUUGCAGCUUCACACCUGCUCCUCUUUGUUCAUUAGCUGGAUCUCAGUGUUAUGCUUGGUUCCACUCGGCGUGAUAAGUUAUCUAUCGCUGAGGACACUGUAAAAGGUGGCCAAGGUAAAUGCAGAUGAACCGCUUCUAAUAGUCCAUUGACUUGGACAAUACUUUUGUGAUCUGAUCUCAAAUCUGGUAGGACUACCCGCUGAACUUAAGC
This 378-nucleotide unclassified non-coding RNA is filed under the name plant metagenome. RNAcentral describes it as "partial contains 5.8S ribosomal RNA, internal transcribed spacer 2, and large subunit ribosomal RNA". The stretch from base 1 to 105 matches the Rfam family "5.8S ribosomal RNA", at positions 50 to 154 of the family's 154-position model. The record is from RNAcentral.